AGUGAACGCUGGCGGUAGGCCUAACACAUGCAAGUCGAACGGCAGCACAGUAAGAGCUUGCUCUUACGGGUGGCGAGUGGCGGACGGGUGAGGAAUACAUCGGAAUCUACUUUUUCGUGGGGGAUAACGUAGGGAAACUUACGCUAAUACCGCAUACGACCUACGGGUGAAAGCAGGGGAUCUUCGGACCUUGCGCGAUUGAAUGAGCCGAUGUCGGAUUAGCUAGUUGGCGGGGUAAAGGCCCACCAAGGCGACGAUCCGUAGCUGGUCUGAGAGGAUGAUCAGCCGCACUUGAACUAAGACACGGUCCAGACUCCUACGGGAGGCAGCAGUGGGGAAUAUUGGACAAUGGGCGCAAGCCUGAUCCAGCCAUACCGCGUGGGUGAAGAAGGCCUUCGGGUUGUAAAGCCCUUUUGUUGGGAAAGAAAAGCAGCAGGUUAAUACCCCGCUGUUCUGACGGUACCCAAAGAAUAAGCACCGGCUAACUUCGUG
RNAcentral lists this ribosomal RNA (492 nucleotides) under uncultured bacterium. RNAcentral's name for it is "partial 16S ribosomal RNA". It matches the Rfam family "Bacterial small subunit ribosomal RNA", at positions 29 to 507 of the family's 1533-position model. The record is from RNAcentral.